Molecule: unclassified non-coding RNA, 313 nt
Filed under: uncultured fungus
Lineage: Eukaryota; Fungi
Description: partial contains small subunit ribosomal RNA, internal transcribed spacer 1, and 5.8S ribosomal RNA
Rfam family: Eukaryotic small subunit ribosomal RNA (bases 1-73)
Source: RNAcentral
GCAAACUUGGUCAUUUAGAGGAAGUAAAAGUCGUAACAAGGUUUCCGUAGGUGAACCUGCGGAAGGAUCAUUAACGAGUUAGGGUCCUCUGGGCUCGACCUCCCACCCUUUGUCUACCUUACCUUUUGUUGCUUCGGCGGAUCCGUCCUACAACGGGACCGCCGGAGGGUGAUCAGUCACUCUCUGGCCUGCGUCCGCCGGCGGCCUACUAUCAAAUUCUAUUUGAAACAUUGUUGCCUGAAACUGUUUGUUUAAUAAACGAAAAACUUUCAACAACGGAUCUCUUGGUUCUGGCAUCGAUGAAGAACGCAGC